This 593-nucleotide ribosomal RNA is filed under the name uncultured bacterium. Its description in RNAcentral is "bacterial SSU rRNA". It matches the Rfam family "Bacterial small subunit ribosomal RNA", at positions 28 to 635 of the family's 1533-position model. The record is from RNAcentral.
AAUGAACGUUGGCGGCGUGGAUUAGGCAUGCAAGUCGAAUGCGAACGUUUCCUUCGGGGAACUUGUAGCAUGGCGAAAGGGGCAGUAACGCAUAAGUAACCUACCUCCAGGUCUGGGAUAUACGGUGGAAACGCCGGGCAAUACUGGACGUUGUCGCGACUCGGCAUCGAGAUGCGAUGAAAGGUUUACUGCCUGAAGAGGGGCUUAUGUAUUAUCAGCUUGUUGGUGAGGUAAUGGCUCACCAAGGCUACGACGAUUAGGGGGUGUGAGAGCAUGGCCCCCGUCACUGGGACUGAGACACUGUCCAGACUCCUACGGGAGGCUGCAGUCGAGAAUCUUCGGCAAUGGGCGAAAGCCUGACCGAGCGACGCCGCGUGGAGGAAGAAGGCCUUCGGGUUGUAAACUUCUGUUGGAGAGGACCAAUAAAUGAGGGAAUCUCUGAGGAAGCACGGGCUAAGUUCGUGCCAGCAGCCGCGGUAAGACGAACCGUGCGAACGUUAUUCGGAAUCACUGGGCUUAAAGAGCACGUAGGCGGCAUCAUAAGUUGGAGGUGAAAUCCUGACGGCUCAACCGCAGAACUGCCCCCAAUACUG